This 494-nucleotide ribosomal RNA is filed under the name uncultured bacterium. Its description in RNAcentral is "partial 16S ribosomal RNA". It matches the Rfam family "Bacterial small subunit ribosomal RNA", at positions 28 to 507 of the family's 1533-position model. The record is from RNAcentral.
GACGAACGCUGGCGGCGUGCUUAACACAUGCAAGUCGAACGGAAAGGCCUGCUUUCCCUUGUGGAUUGCGGGUACUCGAGUGGCGAACGGGUGAGUAACACGUGAGUGAUCUGCCCCCAACUUGGGUAUAAGCCUGGGAAACUGGGUCUAAUUUCCGAUAGGACUGCAGGGUGGUGCCUGUGGUGGAACACGAUUUUCUAGUGGUUGGGGAUGAGCUCGCGGCCUAUCAGCUUGUUGGUGGGGUAAUGGCCUACCAAGGCGGCGACGGGUAGCCGGCCUGAGAGGGUGGACGGCCACAUUGGGACUGAGAUACGGCCCAGACUCCUACGGGAGGCAGCAGUGGGGAAUAUUGCACAAUGGGCGGAAGCCUGAUGCAGCGACGCCGCGUGGGGGAUGACGGCCUUCGGGUUGUAAACUCCUUUCGACCGCGAGGAAGCCACCUGGUUGGAAGGGUGGUGACGGUAGUGGUAGAAGAAGCACCGGCUAACUACGUG